Molecule: ribosomal RNA, 238 nt
Filed under: uncultured Lactobacillus sp.
Lineage: Bacteria; Bacillati; Bacillota; Bacilli; Lactobacillales; Lactobacillaceae
Description: partial 16S ribosomal RNA
Rfam family: Bacterial small subunit ribosomal RNA
Source: RNAcentral
CCUGCCCAAGAGAUCGGGAUAACACCUGGAAACAGAUGCUAAUACCGGGAUAACAACAGAUGAUGCCUAUCAACUGUUUAAAAGAUGGUUCUGCUAUCACUCUUGGAUGGACCUGCGGUGCAUUAGCUAGUUGGUAGGGUAACGGCCUACCAAGGCGAUGAUGCAUAGCCGAGUUGAGAGACUGAUCGGCCACAUUGGGACUGAGACACGGCCCAAACUCCUACGGGAGGCAGCAGCC